RNAcentral lists this ribosomal RNA (61 nucleotides) under Thuidium tamariscinum. RNAcentral's name for it is "partial 26S ribosomal RNA". Lineage: Eukaryota; Viridiplantae; Streptophyta; Bryopsida; Hypnales; Thuidiaceae. RNAcentral also lists the same sequence under 1 other name. The record is from RNAcentral.
CAGACCUCUAAUCGGAAAAGACUACCCGCUGAGUUUAAGCAUAUCAAUAAGCCGGGAGGAA